AAUACCGCAUACGUCCUACGGGAGAAAGCAGGGGACCUUCGGGCCUUGCGCUAUCAGAUGAGCCUAGGUCGGAUUAGCUAGUUGGUGAGGUAAUGGCUCACCAAGGCUACGAUCCGUAACUGGUCUGAGAGGAUGAUCAGUCACACUGGAACUGAGACACGGUCCAGCCUCCUACGGGAGGCAGCAGUGGGGAAUAUUGGACAAUGGGCGAAAGCCUGAUCCAAAAGGGCCGCGUGUGUGAAGAAGGUCUUCGGA
Molecule: ribosomal RNA, 255 nt
Filed under: uncultured bacterium
Lineage: Bacteria
Description: partial 16S ribosomal RNA
Rfam family: Bacterial small subunit ribosomal RNA
Source: RNAcentral